This 253-nucleotide ribosomal RNA is filed under the name uncultured bacterium. RNAcentral's name for it is "partial 16S ribosomal RNA". It matches the Rfam family "Bacterial small subunit ribosomal RNA", at positions 524 to 776 of the family's 1533-position model. The record is from RNAcentral.
AACGUAGGAGACGAGCGUUAUCCGGAUUUACUGGGCGUAAAGCGCGUGUAGGAGGCGCUACAAGUUGGAUGUGAAAGCUCCCGGCUUAACUGGGAGAGGUCGUUCAAGACUGUAGUGCUAGAGUGAGGCAGAGGUAGAUGGAACUCCGGGAGUAGUGGUGAAAUGCGUAGAUAUCCGGAAGAACACCAGAGGCGAAAGCGAUCUACUGGGCCUAAACUGACACUGAGACGCGAAAGCCAGGGUAGCAAACGGG